GCCGAAGCGUUACAAUAACUCACGCAACUCAUUUUACUCAUCAUCUAGUUCACAUGGUUUGGCACAUUCUUCAUCAACAACUGAAUCAUUUGACGUCAUCAACUCCGCGAUCUGCGUUGACAUCGGUGUAUUGACAGUUGAUUUCGCUGCUAAAGAAUGAAAGUGAUACUGUGUACCAACUCAAGUCGCCAUUUGGUUUUCGUAUGUGUUUUACAGGCAGAUGCGGCUAGCUGCUUAAACUUUGUUUGUUUAGUGAGAAGGGACCCAGUAAGCUUGAACUAUUUUUGCUGACAUGGUGAAAAAGCAGUGAAAUGCUCCCAUAAACGAGUUUGAGAUCUCCCAUGAUAGUUCUUCCAAAACUUGGCAUGUUCAAGGAUUAGGCCUGCAACGUUUCGUCCAAAUGACUAACUGGAGGUAUGGAUCUCUCUGUUCUCUGAUCCUGUCUUCUUUUACAUUCUUGUGUAUUGCCUUUUAUCAAGUGUCUUUUCCUUGUAUUUCUCUUUGGGUUAGCAUUCCUAUGG
Long non-coding RNA from Solanum stenotomum, 521 nucleotides. RefSeq lists it as uncharacterized. The record is from RefSeq and is a predicted model, not a curated record. The transcript has 3 exons. NCBI's taxonomy places the organism in Eukaryota, Viridiplantae, Streptophyta, Magnoliopsida, Solanales, Solanaceae.